GACGAACGCUGGCGGCGUGCUUAACACAUGCAAGUCGAACGAGUGGCGAACGGGUGAGUAACACGUGGGUGAUCUGCCUUGCACUUCGGGAUAAGCUUGGGAAACUGGGUCUAAUACCGGAUAGUGCAAGAUGAGCUCUCGGCCUAUCAGCUGGUUGGUGGGGUGAUGGCUACAAAGGCGUGACGGGUAUCCGGCCUGAGAGGAUGAUCAGCCACACUGGGACUGAGACACGGCCCAGACUCCUACGGGAGGCAGCAGUGGGGAAUAUUGCACAAUGGGCGCAAGCCUGAUGCAGCCAUGCCGCGUGUAUGAAGAAGGCCUUAGGUUGGUAAAGUACUUUCAGCGGGGAGGCGUUACCCGCAGAAGAAGCACCGGCUAACUCCGUGCCAGCCGCCGCGGUAAUAC
This 405-nucleotide ribosomal RNA is filed under the name uncultured bacterium. RNAcentral describes it as "partial 16S ribosomal RNA". It matches the Rfam family "Bacterial small subunit ribosomal RNA", at positions 28 to 526 of the family's 1533-position model. The record is from RNAcentral.